UGAUGUUCCUUUUUCUAAAUGGUAGGAAAUCAGUACUUACCAAGUGCUGGCCCAGAAUUUAUUUGACUUUAAUUUCCCUUUAUGACCCCGUCUGCUAAUCUCUAUUGCACAGAUAAAGAGAGAUGAGGUUAGGUACUUUUGUGAUGUCUUCUUGGCCGGGUGUUUGUGGCAGUCAGAGCGGUUUUCAGCUGGAGCAGAAGGCUCAGAGACGUGCCCGUGUUGUUUAAUGCCUGCCUGGGAGAUGCAGGAGGCACAGCCUCCCUCUCUAGAAAUGCCAGCAUGAUGGGUGGCAAAGAUGCUGCUGAGCUGCUGGUUUAAUUUGCCUUUUAGAGGCGUUUUAGGGAAGGCAUCUGGUUGCAAUCGUGCUGCCCCUUUGAAAGGCCGUUCUCAUUUGUCUGCAACUUCUUUGAAAGUACAGCAGAGCUCUGACUGGCAUAUGGUUGUCAGCCAAGAGAAAACUGUGCGUCUAGGAAGCAGAUCAAUGUUGACAUUGUGAAGGUACCUCUGGAAAGAAUUAAUCAAGUCUGAUCUUUGCAUACCCUCUCAGUAUGGAUUUUCAUUAGACGUGGUGCUGUCUCCACACAGAGAGUCCAAGGUGCUCUCCUCAAGGUCAGCCACUGAAGGGGAUGAAGGCUGGAGAGUCUCUGGGUUCUGGGGGCACAGGAUAAUGUCCUCGAAAUCUCUUGUCCUUGCUGCCAGUGCUGGCUGCACACAUCCAACACACCCCACUGCAAAGGCAAAGCACAGAGCCAGGAGCAGAACUUGUGGUCCCAAAGGCUCUGUCAAACACA
Passer domesticus (house sparrow) is the source of this 791-nucleotide long non-coding RNA. RefSeq lists it as uncharacterized. The record is from RefSeq and is a predicted model, not a curated record. NCBI's taxonomy places the organism in Eukaryota, Metazoa, Chordata, Aves, Passeriformes, Passeridae. The transcript has 4 exons.